This is a long non-coding RNA of Globicephala melas (long-finned pilot whale), 7124 nucleotides long. RefSeq lists it as uncharacterized. The record is from RefSeq and is a predicted model, not a curated record. Lineage: Eukaryota; Metazoa; Chordata; Mammalia; Artiodactyla; Delphinidae.
GGGUGGGGUGGAGGGGAGAGCCUCCUGUCCGCCCAGACUGGCUCCUGUGUUCAGGUUUACCGUGUGGUCAAGCCUCGAAGAAGGUCAGUGUGAGGUUCAACUGGAAACAGAGCCGGCUUUCAGGCCCUGAGGAAUCCACGCGAGGGUCCAUCAGGGCUGCCUGCGGGGUUGGGGAUUGAGGAUUAUCAAAGAAAAAGGGGGAUUGAAACCUAGCAGGACCCUGCAGAGAUCUCCCAGGUAUCUUUGAAUUGUUGUGCAGGAAGUAAGACCCUUAUCCAGGUGGAGGGCAAGCUGAGCACAAGCAGGUACAUCCCAGACUGGCUGGAACCAGAAGAUGGGGAAACUGAGGCACAGAGAAGCAAAGUGAUCUUCCCAGAGCCACACAGCCAGUGGGUGGUAGGGCCAGGCUCCAAACCCAGGUCUUUCUGAGCCCCGAGCCCACUGCACCAUCUUGCCUGGUGAAUAUGUGUUGGUGUUGCUGGCUGCGGGAGGAGGCCCGACUCAGUAAGUGAGUGCUAUCACAUAACAAGCAUCAACAGAUCCUCCUGGCCUCACAGAGACGUUCCAAGGGAAAACAUGACUUCUGAGUUUCCUUGUUGAUUAGUGCCUUUCAACAUCCUGCCUUUGCACAGGUGCAAACCAUUUUCUUGUCAAUGACUCUAAGUUGCGCUAGUUGCCUGUGAGACGUGCAGGGUUGCCCGGCCCUGUAAUGAGGACUUAACAUUCCUAGACAUCUGAGGUACCUGGGACAUUAAUGCUCCACCACCACAGGUCUGCCGGCAGAAGUUCAGCCAAAAGGUAGGAAGGGAGGGGAGGGAGUCUGACAAAGGGUAUAGAACGCAGACACAUUUUCAUUCAUUUCUCCGAGGCUGCCCAUAGGUUCACAGGGAUCUCCUGUGUUUGUUCCUUUAUCAGACCUGGGCUUGGGAAACACUGCUGCUAAUUCACUCGAGUUCCUGAAGUUCACCUUCUGGAUUUUAGGGUCCUCAUCACACUGUAUUGUAAGCACUGAUUUUCUUUUAUUGCCCCCACUGGACAGAGCUUCUUGCAAACAGAGACUGGCCCUCAUUCACUUUGCUAUCUUCCUAGCCUAGGCCAGGGCCUGGCACAUGGUCUGUGUCUAACACAUGCUUGCUGGUCCCCUCUACCACGCCGCCACACAGCUCUCUCUGGAUGCUCUUCUCUGAGAGAAAUGUAGCCUUCCCUUUCUCUACCCAGCUCAGAUGUCACCUCCUGCAGAAGCUUCCCCAAGUCUCUCAAAUCAAAAGGGCUCAACAACUUUGCAUGUUGUCCCCUCUCCUCUCAAGAAGCUCAGUCUGGUAGGUGGGGGUUUAGAAAAGCAAGCUAAUGUGUACAGUGUACUGUGAUGCUUGACAGACUUUAAAUGGGCAAAGGAUCACUGCGUGUUCAUUCAGUGGAGUGCUCUGAGUUGUCUAGGAUUCCAAGCUGUCUGAUUCUCUAGGGAACUAACUGCACAUUUGAUUAUCUUUCGCUGGGCUGUUUUAUAACUUUGCUGUGAUGGAAGUUAACUUGUACAGGGCUGAUGAUGGCGCAGAUGUUUCCUGCCUGAUGUGUGAUGCAAAUUGUUCCUGUUCGUGGCAAUGCAAAUGAGUUUUGUCCAGUAGAGAAUAAGUCUCCAUAAGUCCAAUUCUCAUUUGAAAGUUGUAAAAUCUUACUGGUUCUUUCCUUUUUUUUUUUUUCCAAUUCAAUUACUUAUUUUAGUAAAUGAGUAAGAAAUAGAAAAUUUUAAAUAUAGAUAUUUGUGUCUUUUUACAUUUUAUUUUAUUUAAAUUUUUAUUGGAGUAUAGUUGCUUUCCAAUGUCUUAGUUUCUACUGUACAGCAAAAUGAAUCAGCCACACACAUACAUACAUCCCCUCCUUUUUGGAUUUCCCUCCCAUUUAAGUCACCACAGUGCAUUAAGUAGAGUUCCCUGUGCUAUACAGUAUGUUCUCAUGAGUUGUCUAUACUGGUUCUUUCCUUAAUUAAUGAGUUAUAUAAACAUGUUAAUUUUAUUUCUGUAUGAGAGUCAUGAUUUUACCAUUUUGCAAAUUAUGUUUCAGUGGUAAAAACUAUGACAGAGGUAGUGAUAAUAUAUACUGAGCAUUUAUUCUGUGUCAGGAAGUAUGCUAAAGAUUUUAUAGUUGUCGUAUUUAAUCCUCACAGCAACCCUAUAAGGUAAGUUCUAUUUAUUAGUCCCAUUUUACAGAUAUAGGAACUGAGGCCUAGAGGUUAAGUAACUUGCUUAAGGACCCAGAGUUAAUAAGUGGUCUAUCUGGACUUUGUACCCAGAGACCUGGGAUUUGACACUAAGAUUCAUAUUCUAACUGCACUGUCACCAUAAAGGCACUCAGAAAUAAAUUGGGGCAGCCACUGUGGAAAACAGUAUGGAGAUUUCUCAAAAAACCAAAAAUAGAACUACCAUAUGACCCAGCAAUUCCACUCCUGGGUAAAUAUCCAAAAAACAAAACAACAAAACAAAAAACAACACUAAUUUGAAAAGAUACGUGCACCUCAAUGUUCAUAGCAGCAUUAUUUACAAUUGUCAAGAUAUGGGGACUUCCCUGGCAGUCCAGUGGUUGAGACUCUGUGCUUCCACUGCAGGGGACUCGGGUUUGAUCCCUGGUCAGGGAACUAAGAUCCCCCAUGCUGUGUGGUGUGGCCAAUAAAUAAAUAAAAUAUGGAAGCAACCAAAGUGUCCAUCAACAGAUGAAUGAGUAAAGAAGUGGGUGUAUAUAUAUGCAAUGGAAUACUACUCAGCCAUUAAAAAGAAUGAAAUUUUGCUAUUUGCAGCAACACGGAUGGAAUUGGAGGGCAUUAUACUAAGUGAAGUGUCAGACAAAGACAUACUAUAUGUUAUCACUUGUAUGUGGAAUGUAAAAAUUACAACAAACUGGUGAAUAAAACAAAAAGAAGCAGACUCAGAGAUAUAGAGAACAACCUAGUGGCUACCAGUGGGGAGAGGGGCAAUAUAGGUGUAGGAGGAAGAAAAAGGGUUGCUAUGGGAUUAUAUGAGAUCAUGUGUGUGAAACUUUUGAAAAUUUUAAAGCACUAUAGAAUUUAAAGAAUCAUUCAUUCAAUUAAAAGAACAAAACAGAUCAGUGGGAAAAAAAACAAAUUGGGGAAUCAGAGAAGUCCUCCUGGUAAAAGGAGACAUGAAGCAAGUUUCAAACGGUGGAUAGGAGUUGGUGCAGAGGAGAAAGGAGGGAGGGGUUUCCUGGCAGAAGUCAGCACGUAGGAAGGCAGGGAAGUCUGAAAUAAGGUCCUGCACUUAAGGAACUAAGAAAUUCACCUGGGGCUUCCCUGGUGGUGCAGUGGUUGAGAAUCCACCCGCCAAUUUGGGGGGCACGGGUUCAAGCCCUGGUCCGGGAGGAUCCCACGUGCUGCGGAGCAACUAAGCCCAUGCGCCACAACUACUGAGCCUGCAUGCUACAACUACUGAAGCCUGCAUACCUAGAGCCCGUGCUCUGCAACGAGAAGCCACUGCAAUGAGAAGCGUGUGCACCACAACAAAGAGUAGCUCCUGCUUGCCGCAACCAGAGAAAGCCCACGCGCAGCAACAAAGACCGAACACAGCCAAAAAUAAAUAAAUAAAAUAAAUUUAUUAAGAAGAAAAAGAAACUCACCUGGGCUGGAGAGCGGGGUGUGGGCUGAGUAUUGGCAGAAGAAGACUGCAGAGGUAUGUGGGAGCUCAUCAAGAAGGGCCCUAUGGGUCAGGCUAAGGAGUUGGGACUUUAUUCUCAAACUACAGGAUUUAAAGCAGAGUGAGUGAUUAGAUGAGUUUUAUUAUUUUUAUCUUUAUUGCCUUUAUUUGAAGUUAUAAAAGCAGCUGAAAAAUCUGGCCGUUUUAGAAAAAUCAUUUUAGAAGCAGUGUUGAGGCUGCAUUGGAGGUGGUGAGAAAAGACAGGGAGGAUGUUAAAAACCAAGUCUAUGGCAGGGAAAAAGAAAAAGCAUUGCAAGGAGAAACAGUGUGUACAGCAGUUCAAUCUAUACAUUCGGGCAACCGAUGAGGUACGUGGAGGUGGGAAUGGGGAGAGGCUGGGACGCAGGUAGUUUACAGCCCUCCAAAGCUCAGAACUCCAUCUACUGCAGGCCUGUUUAUGCUCAUUCUUAGCAUUUGAGAAACAAGAUAGUACUUAGGAUUUAAAAGGAAAAGGGUUCUUCCCAUUCUGAAAAGCAUAUGUAAAUAGGGCCUGACACAAAAGUACCCAGGCACUUUUCUUUUAGCCUCAAGGGAAAAAAAAUGAGUUAGGAAAAUAAAGAUAAAACACAAUGACAAGAAUUAUUAUAAACCUUCUCUUAAUAAUUACAGACAUACAGAUUGUCAGCACACCAGGUGAUUUUUAAUCCCAGCCCAGUUCCCCUCCUGGCUUCUUAAUGGCUGCUGGCCACUUCCUCUUGGGACCUGGCCAGAGUAAGCUCAGGAAAUGCAAACUUUUAAUUCUGGAAUCAGUAAAGCAUAUUAGGAAAGGAAAUCCCACAACUGAAGAAAUCACAUUAUGAAUUCCAAAGCCAAGGAAAAGGACUGUAAAUCAGAUUGUGAAUUCAUUGGAGACAGGACCAUUUGACUUAUUUUGGUGCAGGAUCCAAGUGAUUGGUUUGGUCUCUAUUCACCCUUCAAGGUUAUCCAGGAUUCAACCUCUUUCAUUCUCGUGUUUCCAAACUUCCACCCAGUACAACAUUUAGCUCUAGCAGCUGAGCUGUCUGCAGUCUUGCUUUGCACACUUCUGACAGCAGGGGUGGGGGAGGGGUGGUGCCAGCUAAAGGGUCAGUGUUUUUCAUUUAUAGCCACGUCCCUAGGAUUGUGCGUGAAUGAGAACGUACUUGAAAGGCCUUUGUACACUCUGAUGAGCUAUACAAAUAUUAUCGCAUGUUCUUUAUUGUUCUGGUUGAUGACAACUGACACUAUUUAAUUUUUAAAACUACUAUGAGCUCAAUACUGCUAUGUACUCAACUGUAUGCAGUGUACAUUCACAAUCCGCACAAUAAUUUCAUUAUGUUUCACUUACCGAAGAGGCUCAGAGAAAUUAACUUGCUAGAGUAUCUACUUUUUGUCCUUUUUAGGCCCUCCUGAGAUUGGGUUAGAGACUUCUCCAUGUGCUGGCCCAUCACAGCCCUUACUAUGCAGUCUCCCCCACUAGACUAGGAGCUGGGGGUGCCAGGAACUGCAUUCUGAUCACUGUUAUCCCUUCUAUCUAGGAAAUAGGCACAUAGAUGAUGCUCCAAAAAACACUAUUUAGGUGAAUUAAUGAAGGCUGAUCUUAUGUCCACUGCUCUUUUCUGAAUAUUGCUGUUUUCCUUAUAACUUACUGUUCACUGUCCGCUUUCCCCUACUAGAAGGUAAGAUGCAUAGAAAGACAUUUUGUUCAUGACUGGAUUCUCAAAGCCUAGAGCAAUGCUUGGGGACCUAGUAAGGGUCCAGUAAAUACCUGUUAGUAAAUAAACUAAAAUAGCUGCUCGGGCAAGCAAAUUCUACUUUUUGUGACAUCAUAGUAUUGUUUUCUGAUGCUGAUCUCAGUAAGAUAAUGUUCGACAACCGUUAACACUGUAACGUGGGUAAGUGCGGAACGCUCUGGCUUCCUGAGUUAAACAUUCACUUGCAGCUGAAUGAUGACUGCAAGGGGAACCGCAGGAAUGCUGUCCCCAAGAGCACCGUCUCAGGAAGGAGACACUGGUGGUUGACACAGGCAGCCCGUGGACUCUACACUCUACAGCUUUGGUCCAGCACCAGCGAAAUCACGGCUAGAGACCACUGUGCUCUUGACUUCCAUCUCAUUCACCUUCCUUUCACCAGAUGCAAUUCUUGAAGCAGAAAAAUAAAACCUGUUUGUAAUAAUUAUCAGCUUCAUCUUCUUAGGAGUCAUGUGUCUCUUGCCAGAACUCUUCUAGAUCAAAGGUACUGCUGUUUUUUCCUCUCUGUAAACCAGUAUUAUGUGCUCCAUUAAAUAUUUUCUUGUAGUAUAAAAGUAACCAUGACAUCAAGAAACUUUAGAAUGUGGAAAAAAUAUAGAAAAAAGUUACCUCUAAAUUUACCAGGCUCACGAAAUUAGUAUAUUUGUUUAUGUCCUUUAUCCCCUGUGCACAUGUAUAUAUGUAUUAUGCACACACACACACACCAUGGUAGUUUGUGUUCUGCCUUUUUCAUUUAACAUUGUGCUGUGAUUAUAUCAUAAGGACUUCAUAACCAUCUGUUUAAAUAGUUAUUGAUACAAGAAAUUGAUAAUUUCAAAGGAACAAUUUUCUUAUAUAAAUUCCAAGUCUGGAAUUCUUAGGGAAAAGAUGUGAACUCAUGGUAUUUGACACAUAUUAUGAAAUUGCUUUGCCAAUAUUGUUGUACCAAUUUAUUGAGCCACCAACUGAUGAUAAUUUAUAAUUUAAGUCAUGUUAUUGAUAUAGUAGAGAAAAAUAAAAAUCUCAUCAAUCUUUCAGUUUACCUUUAAGAACAUUGCUAAGGACAAAGGACUUUAAUCAUGAUUGGUUACUAGUUACAUUUCUGCUCUUUAAGAAUCAUCACAAAUAUUGAGGGGAAAAGAUUAUCAGUUACUAAUCAGGUGUCUUCCUUGUGGAGGCAGUGUACAAAGAGCAAGGGCUUUGGGAUUCAAAUCCACCUUACUUAAAGAGCCGGGACAUAUAUGCAACAACCUCAUGAGGUGUUAGUUUCCAUUCAUUUCCAAACAAAGACCAUUACAUUUGUAAGACUAAACGGAGGAUCUGAUCCAACAGGACAGUUUUUGAUCAUUUAGCUAAUAGUCUUAUCUUUAAGAGUCACUCCCUUAGAGCUAUCCUCUGCAUGUAAGGCUCCACCCACCUUGGAAAUUAGAGGAGCUCAAUUUUUUCCCAGGUACCACUUUUCUUUGAUUUUUUUUUAAUAGUCAGGUGCCUACCCUUAUUAAGCCCUUACUUAACACAAGCUGUCACAUAUCAACUAACCUUCAUGACAACCCUAGUGGGGGAUGGUACUAAUUAUUAAUACCUUACGAAAGAAAACAUCUGAUGCUUAACCCUAGCAGUCUAUAUCGUUAAGCAACCGGUAGGCUGUAGCUAUUCCAGUCUCCUCUAGCAAGUCAAGGUAAAAGUCAGCAAAAAGUAAGUAAAUCAGUGCUGUUCAGCUGAGGAGAAAGAUACU